Long non-coding RNA from Manis javanica (Malayan pangolin), 301 nucleotides. RefSeq lists it as uncharacterized. NCBI's taxonomy places the organism in Eukaryota, Metazoa, Chordata, Mammalia, Pholidota, Manidae. The record is from RefSeq and is a predicted model, not a curated record.
GAGUUUUCUGUAGCUGAUUUUAAGGAAGCAAUUUAGAGAUUUGGAGCUCAAGAAAGAUUUGACCUGCCAUUACUGGUUUGAAAGAAGAGGACACAUGGCAAGAAAGCAAUAGAAAAUUGAUACAAGAGGGAUCUCAUCAGAUGAACUUGAUGCUCCAUCCCAUGAACUGCCUCCAAAACAGAAUUACUCAUAGCGUUUGCUGAUCCUGCUUCUCAGUCAGGAAGAGCAUCUAUGCUUGGGGAGCCAGAACACCUACACGUGCCACCGAGCCAGGCCCCAAGCUCCACGAGGAUAGAAGCUC